AUGCAGAAGAUCCUUCCUGAGCACCUUCUGCCCUCCAUGUCCGAGCUGCACACUGGAACAGAGAGGUGAGGAAUCCGAGCCUCAGAGAGGGAGUGGGCUUUGUCCGGCAUCACGACAGCUGAAGCCCACAGGCUAGGAUUUGAACCCAGAUCCUGAAGACGCCAGGGCCUUUGCCCCUGUCCACUAGCUGUUGUGGCCUGCUUCACAACCAUGUCUCCUGGCCCCCGCUCCAGGGCUCCAUGACUGCUGAUUAAAAGAACAGCUUUGCCAUAUGGUUUAACCUGA
This 285-nucleotide long non-coding RNA is filed under the name Homo sapiens (human). Its description in RNAcentral is "HSALNT0331145". The record is from RNAcentral. Lineage: Eukaryota; Metazoa; Chordata; Mammalia; Primates; Hominidae.